AAACUGUUCAGGGGUAAACCUGAGAAACCCAAAAGAUCGAAUGGGGAGAUUCAUCGUCGACGGCGUUGGCUACCGUUUGUGCGCGAUGCUCCGGGUGGGACCCUGCGGUUCCAUUAGCGAGGGCACGCCACCUUCGGAUCGAACUUUCCUGCGUCGUAGUCGUGCACUUCUCCCCUAGUAGGACGUCGCGACCCGUUGUGUGUCGGUCUACGGCCCGAGCGGGAGACUGUCGCGUCGCUUCGGCGCACGCGGCAGACCCUCGGUCGCCCGGCCGGCUGCACGACGGUACACCAACGGUAUCGGGCCGCAGCCAAUCCAUUCUCGAAUGUGUGUGCGUCCAUCCCGCCGCAAGCUCGGUCAGUUCUUACCCGGAGGUACGGACCCUGUGCCGUCCCCGGGCCUGGCCAGCUGUUAGCAGGCGGUGUCCUCGGACCGGCCAAACCUCGGAUUACCGGUCGGCGACGCUAUUGCUUUGGGUACUCUCAGGACCCGUCUUGAAACACGGACCAAGGAGUCUAACAUGUGCGCGAGUCAUUGGGAUGCACAAACCUAAAGGCGAAAUGAAAGUGAAAGUCGGCCUUCGCGCCGAUCGAGGGAGGAUGGGCCGCGUAACCAUGCGGCCCCGCACUCCCGGGGCGUCUCGUUCUCACUGCGAGAAGAGGCGCACCUAGAGCGUACACGUUGGGACCCGAAAGAUGGUGAACUAUGCCUGGUCAGGACGAAGUCAGGGGAAACCCUGAUGGAGGUCCGUAGCGAUUCUGACGUGCAAAUCGAUCGUCGGAACUGGGUAUAGGGGCGAAAGACUAAUCGAA
This 812-nucleotide ribosomal RNA is filed under the name Tetragonula geissleri. Its description in RNAcentral is "eukaryotic LSU rRNA". It matches the Rfam family "Eukaryotic large subunit ribosomal RNA", at positions 402 to 939 of the family's 3401-position model. The record is from RNAcentral. Lineage: Eukaryota; Metazoa; Arthropoda; Insecta; Hymenoptera; Apidae.